Helianthus annuus (common sunflower) is the source of this 1758-nucleotide long non-coding RNA. RefSeq lists it as uncharacterized. Lineage: Eukaryota; Viridiplantae; Streptophyta; Magnoliopsida; Asterales; Asteraceae. The transcript is spliced from 8 exons. The record is from RefSeq and is a predicted model, not a curated record.
UAAAACACUUCAAAAUUUCAAAAUUCAAACCAUAACUUAUUUCCUAUACCCAAAAAAAGAAUCAUGAUUUCUUUCAAUCACCGGAUGAAUCACAUACACCGAUCCACCUCUCUCUAAAUUCAUCACCCAAUAAUCCAUCUAGAAAUUGAUAGGACAAACCAAAUAUCACACAAAACCCUAAAUUUGAAUUUUUUUCUGCAUCAUUCUCUCUUCAUCAACUGUUUCACAUCAAACAAACUCAACAAUUCUCUAAUGGAAGUACCAACAAACCGAAGCAGAGUCGUACUUCAGGUAGCUGUAUUUUCCCUAAUUUGCAGCUUUUCGUUCGUUUUCGCUGGAGAUAUUGUUCAUCAGGAUGAUAUAGCACCUAAAUGGCCUGGAUGUGAGAACAAUUUCGUUCUGACGAUUUUUGGCCGGAAUUUUGCCGGAACGUGGGUUGAAAAAUGCGCCCUGAGGAAAUGAAAGAGGGGCUUUUGAAGCAAAGCAAGAAGUCUGCACUGGGCCUGAAAAGUAGGCCUAGGCGCUCGUCUGGGUGAACCUUGACAACAGAGUUUUAAGGUGAUACUCUGCAGUUCACUGCAACUUGUAGUGUUUAGAAAGUUAUGAUGCACCAACCUGUGUUACCGGAUAGGUUGGGGGUGUUACCCCAAAGAAGGGUGGGACAGAGCAUUUGGGGCUGCCUGUUUUCAACACGGUUACAUAUGCAUUUGGGACAGAGCAUUUUGUGCUUUCAGUAAAAGAAAUUUAUUAAGUGUUUUUAACUUUAUAAUUUAUGCUACAGGUUAAGGUAAAGGCUGCUCUUCUUCAGCAGUCAAAAACUCGGUUAAUUGGUCCCAACUGUCCUGGUAUCAUUAAGCCUGGAGAAUGCAAGAUCGGUAUUAUGCCUGGUUACAUUCACAAACUAGGGCGCAUUGGUAUUGUAUCUCGGUCCGGCACGCUAACAUAUGAAGCGGAAGUUUGCUUCUUACACGAGGUUAACCGGAUUCUAGCCUCGAAUCGUCUGGAGCCAUUCUCAAGGCUGGCAAGUGGAAAGUUCAACUACUUCUCAAAGGAUUGCUUACAACCCUUCCAAGAAAGAUUUACAACCUUCAAAACCAAAUGGUGAUUAUGAUCAUUGAGAAAAAAGAGUGGGUUGCCAAUUAUGAGCAGAUGAAAUCCACUGCAGAAAUGGCUGAACUGACGCUAAAACAUGAGCAAUCUAUCCAUACGGCUGCUCUAGCUGAAGCAAAGCUAAGGGAAGAAAAACUGAAAAAGGCUUUUGGAAUUGAAAAGGAAUGUGUUUCCAAUCAUUGCGGGCCUGUUAAAUGUUGGAAGCGUGUUCUAGACUCCAUCUGCUGGAGCUUUGAAGGGAUUUGGUUUUUGUGAAUUUGAAUCCGUGGAAGGAGUUUUACGAGCUUUACUGUUGCUAAGGAGCUUUAGGUGUGCAUGCUUUACAAUUUUCUUUAUGUACUAUAUGCAAAAAUGUUCAAAAUGAUUGAAAUCGAGGAGAAGAUGAUACAGGAAACGCGAUGUAAAUGCAACUGAAAUCGAGAGAAUUAUUGGGUGGAUUUACGGUUCCGUGAUGGAAGAUAUUCUUACAGGAUUCAAGAUGCAUGCACGUGGUUGGCGAUCGAUAUACUGUAUGUCACCUAGACCAGCCUUUAAAGGUUCUGUACCUAUAAACCUGUCGGAUUGUUUAAACCAAGUGCUCAGAUGGGCUUUAGGGUCGAUUGAAAUCCUGUUCAGCAGACAUUGCCCAAUUUGGUAUGGUUAUAGUGG